UGCCGGGGCGCGAGCGGGGCGGCCAUGUCUUCAGAUGCGCAGUGGUUGACGCCAGAGGAGAGGAGCCAGCUUAUUCCUGACUUGAAAGCAGCAGGGUGGUCGGAGUUGAGCGAGAGAGACGCCAUCUACAAAGAGUUCUCCUUCAAAAAUUUUAACCAGUUUCAGGGCCUGUGUGAUGAUGUCAAGUGAUGUUGGGGACGCUGGUGCUGCUGUCCACUGAGGAAGGGGGCUGCAGCCGAUGGCAUUGUCUUGGGGCUCUUGAUUCCGCUGUUCGUACCAGGUAACAGGUGUAGCGCUCGUGUGUAUUAGUAGACUUUGCACACAGACUGGCCGGGGGCAAAUGUAAAACAGGUGUCAGUAAGGUAACUGAUGCCGCACAGCGUAAAAACCGCUGUGCUCACCACGCCGCCCUUUAAUAAAAAUGGGCUUCUGACUAUAUCGGUUCUUCUUGCCCACGCAGUAAAUCUCAUGUUUACAGAAAUUAGCCCAAGCAUUUUAUAAAAGUCAGACAGCCAAGAAAUAUAAUUUCCUCAACAGUGUUUGUCUUGCCCUCUCGCAGACGGCACAAAAUCAGGUGCGCGAAGAAUGAAAAAAAAAUAAAAGCAAUCUGAGCCGACGAGGACGGCGUUCCAGAUUUAUGCUUUGCAGAUGAUUCUGCUGGGGUUGAUGCGUUCACUGCUUCUUUAUUGCUUCCACAGAUAAUAGCCCUGCUGCUUGGAAAGCACGGCGAGU
Molecule: long non-coding RNA, 732 nt
Filed under: Rattus norvegicus (Norway rat)
Lineage: Eukaryota; Metazoa; Chordata; Mammalia; Rodentia; Muridae
Description: long non-coding RNA NONRATT012770
Source: RNAcentral